CACCUGCGUGGUCAAUAACUUCCAGAGCAAGGCGCCCGCGGCCCCGAAGCCGGCGCCCCCCGAGAGCCUGGCCAGCGUCCCCGGCGUGGGGCUGCCCUGCGUCGAGAGCCCCCUGGAGAAGUUCAGCGUAGCCCAGCGGGUCAGGGAACCCCCAGAAGAGCAGGAUUUCUCCACGCUGCUCACCCGAGGCCUGGAGAGGCAGCUCGCUCGCUCCCUCCGCACGGGGGGCCACGCUGGGGCGGCUUGGCCCUACGAGAUCACAGAGCUCUGCUCCCAGCGAUCACCUGACCCCCAGCUGUGCCUCUUCCCCACCACCCCCGACGUGCUCAUCCCCUCCCGCUCCGUCACCAGCGAGGUCUGACGGAGGCACUGCCCCCUGGGGAGGGGAGGCGGGAGGCUGCCCCCCCACACCCAGGACACCCCUCUGCCUAUUGCCCCCCCCCCCAACCAGCACCAUCCCUUUAACCAAUUCCUCCCUGGUUUGUGUGGGGUUCGUAAUGACACACUCGGAAGUGUGGCACCGGGUGGGGGGGCUAAAACCUCACCCUCCUUUUCUAUAGGGUCCAGCUUUCUCCCUCCCCCUCUGGCCCCGGAUGGCCCCCAUCCUGCUGCCAGGGCAAUGAGUGGGAGGUUCAGUCCCUGCCCAUCCUGCAGCCGCUGAAGUUGGGGUGAUGGGAACAGAAUUAGGGGCCCCCACUGAGAGCCCCAAAGGGCCCCCCAGCUGAGGGCUGCCUCCCCUCUAUUGAGGCUGGGCAGGUGGGAGACGGGAUGGGGGCGUGGGGGUUGUAUGUCAGUCUGAUUGGGGGUGGG
Chrysemys picta bellii (western painted turtle) is the source of this 810-nucleotide non-coding RNA. NCBI's taxonomy places the organism in Eukaryota, Metazoa, Chordata, Testudines, Emydidae. The record is from RefSeq and is a predicted model, not a curated record.